AGCAACCCGCUGGGUUGUCUCUUCUGCACUGUGAAAGCGUUGUUUUUUUCACUAUGCGCAAUAAAUUUUCCAACUGGUCAUUCUUUGGGUCCACGCUGUUUUUAUGAGGUAUAACACUCACUGCAAAGGUUUGCAGCUUCACUCCUGAGCUAGCAAGACCACGACCCCACCAGAAAAAAGAAACUGCGGACACAUCUGAACAUCAGAAGGGACAGACUCCACGCCCGCGAACUUUAGAGCUGUGACACUCUCUGUGAGGGUUUGCGGUUUCAUUGUUGAAGUCAGUGAGACCAUAGAACCCACCAAUUUCAGACAACACUUCUGAGCCUCUUAGUGGGAAAUGAAAUCUGUGAUGGGGGGAAGCAUUGGCAGACCUCAGUGAGCUGGAUAAAAAUAACGAUCAGGUCCACAGAGAAAGCAAAAAGGGGAUAGGCCAAAUAUGCACCUGUAUCCUUGCAGGUAAUGAACAUGAAACAAUACUUCCUGCUAUUGGGGGGGCACUCUGAAAUCACCCAAACAAUCCAGAAAGUACAUAAGGUACAAAUAGUCAGACUGGCCCAGAGCCCCUACAGCAGCCUUGUUUGGCCUGUGAAGAAGCCAGGUGAUGCCUGGAAGAUGAUGGUGGAUUACCGCUAGCUGAACAAAGUGGUACGCCCUGUACAUGCAGCUGUAUCCAAUAUUGCUCAACUGCUAGAGCAAGCAGUACCGAAGCUGGGAAGUAUCCAUUCUGUGACUGACUGCAUUAAUACCUUUUCCAGUAUUCUUUCAGCUGAAGAUUCACAAGACCAGUUGGUCUACACUUAGGAGGACCAAGAAUGGACUUUCCAGGUGUCACCACAGGGGCAUCUGCAAAGCCCCGCCAUCUCUCACAGUAUGGUUACACAGGAGCUGUCUAUAAUCUCUUUGCCUGCCUUGGUCUCCCUGUUUCACUAUAUUAAUGAUAACAUGCUACCCUAGAGUCUCUUACAGAUUUGGAGACUAUCCUACAAACUGUUUUGGACAGCCUGAAGGAGGGAUAGAAAAUCAACCCCAAAAAUAUACAGAGGCUUGGCAUGCCUGUCAAAUUCCUGAGAGUUACCUGGUUGGGUAAGAUGUGAAACAUACCCAAAGCCGUCAUUGAUAAGAUAGCAUAGUAGUCUACUCUCCAGACAGUAGAGCAACUCCAGGUUUUCCUAGGUUUACUGGGCUACUGGAGGAUAUUCAUUCCUCAUCUGGCACAAAUACUCCACC
Molecule: long non-coding RNA, 1230 nt
Filed under: Homo sapiens (human)
Lineage: Eukaryota; Metazoa; Chordata; Mammalia; Primates; Hominidae
Description: HSALNT0333515
Source: RNAcentral